This 386-nucleotide ribosomal RNA is filed under the name uncultured eukaryote. RNAcentral describes it as "SSU rRNA". It matches the Rfam family "Eukaryotic small subunit ribosomal RNA", at positions 587 to 972 of the family's 1831-position model. The record is from RNAcentral. RNAcentral also lists the same sequence under 1 other name.
AGCUCCAAUAGCGUAUAUUAAAGUUGUUGCAGUUAAAAAGCUCGUAGUUGGAUCUCAGGUCCCGGCUCGCGGUUCACCUCGCGGUGCUUUACUGCCCGUCCGGACCUAACCCGCCGGUCUCCUCCCUUGGUGCCCUUCGCUGGGUGUCUCGGGUGGCCGGAAAGUUUACUUUGAAAAAAUUAGAGUGUUCAAAGCAGGCGCUUCCGCCUGGAUAAUGGUGCAUGGAAUAAUGGAAUAGGACCUCGGUUCUAUUGUGUUGGUUUUCGGAGCUCGAGGUAAUGAUUAAGAGGGACAGACGGGGGCAUUCGUAUUACGGUGUUAGAGGUGAAAUUCUUGGAUCGCCGUAAGACGAACUACUGCGAAAGCAUUUGCCAAGAAUGUUUUCA